Molecule: long non-coding RNA, 358 nt
Filed under: Salvator merianae (Argentine black and white tegu)
Lineage: Eukaryota; Metazoa; Chordata; Lepidosauria; Squamata; Teiidae
Description: lncRNA (ENSSMRG00000008540.1)
Source: RNAcentral
AUAACAGGCACACCCUUCCUGGAGAGACUGAACCUGCAGAGCAAGCAAAGGAGAUCUUAAUCCUCAGGCAAAAGAGCUGGCAGAUCCACAUGAACAGUAGUGACUCGGACCACUUCAGCAAGGAGAAGGAUGAUUCUUUUUCCUUAGACGGUGGAACUGAUGCUAAUCCCACCUUGUAUCGGUCUCUUACUGCCAGACGUUCUAGAAAAGCACCAAGUGUGAAAUCUAACCGAUCAAUGUCAGUUGGUUUUAUUAUACCACUGCAGCUGAAUACUACCCAACGAGUUAAAGAUGAAGAGGCUGGUAAAAUGACUAUCACAAAGGAGAAGUAAUGCCAUCAUUUGGCUAUCCCUCUGCC